Molecule: ribosomal RNA, 116 nt
Organism: Cricetulus griseus (Chinese hamster)
Lineage: Eukaryota; Metazoa; Chordata; Mammalia; Rodentia; Cricetidae
Source: Ensembl
CUCUAUGGCUGUCCCAUCCUGAAUGUACCCAAUUUUGUCUGAUCUUGGAAGCUAGGAAGGUUGGGCCUGGUUAGUGCUUGGAUGGGAGAAGGCCACCAGUCAGGUUGGAGUAGGAU